UAACGCGUGAGGAACCUGCCUUCCAGAGGGGGACGAACAGUUGGAAACGACUGCUAAUACCGCAUGAUGUGUUUCGAUGGCAUCAUCGAGACACCAAAGAUUUAUCGCUGGAAGAUGGCCUCGCGUCUGAUUAGCUAGUAGGCGGGGUAACGGCCCACCUAGGCGACGAUCAGUAGCCGGACUGAGAGGUUGACCGGCCACAUUGGGACUGAGAUACGGCCCAGACUCCUACGGGAGGCAGCAG
Molecule: ribosomal RNA, 244 nt
Filed under: uncultured bacterium
Lineage: Bacteria
Description: partial 16S ribosomal RNA
Rfam family: Bacterial small subunit ribosomal RNA
Source: RNAcentral